Molecule: long non-coding RNA, 1337 nt
Organism: Papaver somniferum (opium poppy)
Lineage: Eukaryota; Viridiplantae; Streptophyta; Magnoliopsida; Ranunculales; Papaveraceae
Exons: 2
Source: RefSeq, a predicted model, not a curated record
CUUUAUCUUCCUCUUUCUCUUCGAUUAGGUAUGAAAUCCGUCGCUACAACUGAAUUUUCACUAAGGGAGAAGCAAACGAAGAUGGAGAUGAGGAAUUGAGUUGGUUGUGUUUCACCCUCGAUUAGGUAUGCAGAAUUUCUUAAACUGUUUGAUUUUUGCUAUCUGUAAUUCUAGGGUUUCUGCAAAUUUUGGGAAUUUUAUUUCACAUGUGUUUAUCAAUGACUUUGAAGGGUUGGUUAUUCAAUCUUACUUUCUAUUUACAUACUCUGUAUAUGUAUCGGAAAAGUUUCCAACUGAAUUCAGUUUAAUUCGCCAAUUUUUUUUAAUUGUUGCGAAAAAUUCUUUUCAUUGUUUGGGGAAAUCAAAAUUGGGUUCUUUAGGUCACUCAAAGAUUCAUUAUAAGGGAAAAAUGUUGGAGAUUCGGUAACUACUUAGGAAUUAGGGCUUUUAAUACCAACAACAAAUUUUGCUUAGUUAAUUAUGAUAGGAGUUGUUUGAAAAAUUUAUAGGAGAAAAAAGUGUGUUUACUGUUGGUAUUAGAAAUCAGAAUUCAUGUGUUAAUCGACAUUGAAGUUCACUGACAAUAAUUUAUCAAGUCUCUAAAGUUCAGGUCAUUUGUUUCAAGUGUUGAUUUUGCUGUAAUCGAGAUUGACUGAUAUCAGCUAAGGUGUGAUCUCAAUAACAACCCGGACAAUAGAGUACAUUUCCUUUUCUUGGAAGAAGUUUAUUCGUUGUUCAUUCGAAAUUAUUCUGUUUUCUCUCCCCAUGCAUGUUGGCUACUAUAAACUCAUUUUAUUUGGUUCAGGUAUGUAGUAGAGAUAUGCAGUAAGACAGGUUGUAGUUAGCUUCAUGGCAGCAUGGUUUGUCUUAAAAGCUUUUGAUUAAAAGGCGUGUGAUGCUAAAUUAAGAGGAUUCAUCCCUUUUCUAUCAGAGUUUUGUAGCACGCACAUCGUCAUGGGCUGCAGUUAGUAGUUAGUCUAGUGUAUCGACUUUGAACUUCCAAAUUGUUAAGAUGAAGCUGAUUCAAAUUGAUCUUGGCUUUUAAGGUGACGCUGCACAAGGUGGAUCAAAGGCACGAACUGUUGAUAUUGGGGCUACUGUGAGUGUUCCUUCAUUUGUUAACAGUUGCGACAGUACACAAUAGUUUUGAAACUUCUAAUUUUUCUAAGCACCACUAUUUUGUUGCUUUUAUUGUACUCCACAUUUUUUGGGUUUGUGUUUGAGAAACUUGAUCGGGAUACUUGGUGCGAAGUGUAUGUAUACAAGAACUAGGUACUUUGUAAAAAAGAUAUUUUGAAGAAAUUACUGAACACGGAGUGUGUUUUUGUUUUUGUUUA